CCUGGCCGCAGGCCUAACACAUGACAAGUCGAGCGCACCUUUUCGGAGGUGAGCGGCGCACGGGUGAGUAACGCGUGGGAACCUACCCUGGGGUAGGGGAUAACCGCUGGAAACGGCGGCUAAUACCCUAUACGUCCUUCGGGAGAAAGAUUUAUCGCCCUGGGAUGGGCCCGCGUCGGAUUAGCUAGUUGGUGGGGUAAAGGCUCACCAAGGCGACUUAUCCGUAGCUGGUCUGAGAGGAUGAUCAGCCACACUGGGACUGAGACACGGCCCAGACUCCUACGGGAGGCAGCAGUGGGGAAUAUUGGACAAUGGGCGCAAGCCUGAUCCAGCCAUGCCGCGUGAGUGAAGAAGGCCUUAGGGUUGUAAAGCUCUUUCACCCGCGAAGAUGAUGACGGUAGCGGGAGAAGAAGCCCUGGCUAACUCCG
RNAcentral lists this ribosomal RNA (428 nucleotides) under uncultured bacterium. RNAcentral's name for it is "bacterial SSU rRNA". It matches the Rfam family "Bacterial small subunit ribosomal RNA", at positions 36 to 505 of the family's 1533-position model. The record is from RNAcentral.